GUGGAUUAGAUACCCUAGUAGUCCACGCCGUAAACUAUGGAUGCUAGCCGUUGGGGAGCUUGCUCUUCAGUGGCGCAGCUAACGCUUUAAGCAUCCCGCCUGGGGAGUACGGUCGCAAGAUUAAAACUCAAAGGAAUUGACGGGGGCCCGCACAAGCGGUGGAGCAUGUGGUUUAAUUCGAAGCGACGCGCAGAACCUUACCAGCUUUUGACAUGCCCGGUAUGAUCGCCAGAGAUGGCUUUCUUCCCGCAAGGGGCCGGUGCACAGGUGCUGCACGGCUGUCGCCAACU
This 290-nucleotide ribosomal RNA is filed under the name uncultured bacterium. Its description in RNAcentral is "partial 16S ribosomal RNA". It matches the Rfam family "Bacterial small subunit ribosomal RNA", at positions 773 to 1060 of the family's 1533-position model. The record is from RNAcentral.